Molecule: ribosomal RNA, 578 nt
Filed under: Colletotrichum sp. UM90
Lineage: Eukaryota; Fungi; Ascomycota; Sordariomycetes; Glomerellales; Glomerellaceae
Description: eukaryotic LSU rRNA
Rfam family: 5.8S ribosomal RNA (bases 206-364)
Source: RNAcentral
CGUAUGUGGUACCUGCGGAGGGAUCAUUAUCGAGUUACCGCUCCUUAUAACCCUUUGUGAACAUACCCCAAACGUUGCCUCGGCGGGCAGCCGGAGCCCAGCUCGGGCGCGCGGAGCCGCCGUCUCGUCGCGCCCCACCCGCCGGCGGACCACUAAACUCUAUUUAAACGACGUCUCUUCUGAGUGGCACAAGCAAAUAAUCAAAACUUUGUGACAACGGAUCUCUUUGGUUCUGGCAUCGAUGAAAGAAACGCAGCGAAAUGCGAUAAGUAAUGUGAAUUGCAGAAUUCAGUGAAAUCAUCGAAAUCUUUGAACGCACAUUGCGCCCGCCAGCAUUCUGGCGGGCAUGCCUGUUCGAGCGUGAUUUUCAACCCUCAAGCACGGCUUGGCGGUUGGGGCCCUACUGCUUCGGUAGGCCCCGAAAUACAGUGGCGGACCCUCCCGGAGCCUCCGUUUGCGUAGGUAACAUACCACCUCGCACUGGGAUCCGGAGGGACUCCUGCCGUAAAACCCCCCAAUUUUCAAAGGCUGACCUCGAAUCAGUAGAUACCGCUGAACUAGCGAUUCAUACGGAGGAA